GACGAACGCUGGCGGCGUGCUUAACACAUGCAAGUCGAGCGGUAAGGCCCUUUCGGGGGUACACGAGCGGCGAACGGGUGAGUAACACGUGGGUGACCUGCCCUCAGCUCUGGGAUAAGCCUGGGAAACUGGGUCUAAUACCGGAUAUGACUCCAUGACGCAUGUUGUGGGGUGGAAAGCCUUGUGCGGCUGAGGAUGGGCCCGCGGCCUAUCAGCUUGUUGGUGGGGUGANGGCCUACCAAGGCGACGACGGGUAGCCGGCCUGAGAGGGCGACCGGCCACACUGGGACUGAGACACGGCCCAGGACUCCUACGGGAGGCAGCAGUGGGGAAUCUUGCGCAAUGGGCGAAAGCCUGAACGCAGCGACGCCGCGUGAGGGAU
Molecule: ribosomal RNA, 382 nt
Filed under: uncultured bacterium
Lineage: Bacteria
Description: bacterial SSU rRNA
Rfam family: Bacterial small subunit ribosomal RNA
Source: RNAcentral